AUGGGGGCGACCCCGGGGCAGGAGGCGGCGUACCUCGAGCACUGGCGCCAGCGACGGCUGGCCGAGGAGCGGCGUCAAGGCGAGUACGAGGAGAUGCUCGAGCGCGACCUCGAGAAAGAGGCGCGCGAGGCUGAGGAGGAGGCGCGCCAGGCUACGGCUGCACAGGCGGCGGCACAGCCCCCCGCGCCGGCACUACCCCCGCCGGAACAGCUGCGCCUGGACUACGUCGCCGCCGCAUGGGCCACGGAGUUCCCCUGGGCUGGCCCUCCACUGACGCUCAUCGACCGCGCCGACCCCGGGGACGACGACGACGACGCCUAG
RNAcentral lists this ribosomal RNA (321 nucleotides) under Triticum aestivum (bread wheat). Its description in RNAcentral is "partial small subunit ribosomal RNA". The record is from RNAcentral. Lineage: Eukaryota; Viridiplantae; Streptophyta; Magnoliopsida; Poales; Poaceae.